CUGUAGCUGCUGGCCCACACCACAGCCACAGCAACACAGGAUCCAAGCCACAUCUGCGACCUACACCACAGCUCAUGGCCACCCUGGAUCCCCAACCCACUGAGUGAGGCCAGGGAUCGAACCCACAUCCUCAUGGAUACUAGUUGUAUUUGUUUCCACUGAGCCACAAUGGGAACUCCUCCCCAUGACUUGUAGCUCCUGCCAUUAAGGGUCAUGUGUGGUUCCCUCCCUUAUGGAAUAGACAAGGCUGUAUAACCAAUAGGAUAGUGGAAAUGACAUUAUGUGACUCCCAGCUUGGGUCCUAAAGACAGCACAGCUUCCUUCUUGCUGUCUCUGGAGUCCCUGGCUCUGGGGGAAGCUGCUGCCAUGUUGUGAGGUCACUCAAGCAGCCUUUAGCAAGGAGGCUGUUGGCACUAACAUGCAGACAAGCGAGUGAGCUUGUAUGGUCAAGAAGCAUAUCAUGCAGCACCAGGUGCCCACAGUCCCAGCAAAUCUCUGAUGCAGUCUUACAAGUGAUGGGGAGCCAAUAUCACCCAGGCAAGCCACUGCCAGAUUUCUGACCUUCUGAACAUUCAUUGAUUUAAACUGCUAAGGUUUGGGGUAAUUUGUUUUGCAGCCAUGACUAUCUAACACACGUUAUUAGCUUGCACUGUGUCUCAUUACCCAGCCCUAGGACAUAUGGAUUUUUUUUUUCAACGUAUCAUGACACAGUUCUUCCAAAUGGAGGGGUCCUGGAGAUGAAUCUCACCCCAUCAAAUUCUCAUUAAAACCCUUUCUCCCUGACACGGUGGUUUGGUUUCUGUCUGUUUCCCUGGAGGAGAGAGUCAGCCCUGAAGUCCUAGAAACAAGGUGGAGCAGGUAGUGGGUUCUUAAGGCCACUGAGUCAUUCAUUAACCCAUGCUCUCUCUUGAUCUCUUUUAUUUUUUAUUAUUAUUGUUUUUAUUUUUAGGACUACACCCUCGGCACAUGGAAGUUCCCAGACUAGGUGUCCAAUCAGAGCUGCGGCUGCCAGCCUAUGCCACAGCUCACAGCAACACUGGAUCCUUAAUGCACUGAACGAGACCAGGGAUCAAACCUGAGUCCUCAUGGUUACUAGUCAGAUUCAUCACUGCUGAGCCACAGUGGGAACUCCUCUUUCUCUUUUUUUGAACCAUAAUUAUUUUCAAAUAUCUUAAGGAGAACAGUAAAGUUUUGCAUAUUCCUUGAGGCUUUUUAAAAACUAGGAGGAUUGAGAUUUUGUUUAUUAUUUUUGGAGAGAAAUACAAUGUGGGAAGGCUUCUCAUUUGUAGGUGCCUGAGCUCGGCCCCCAGGGCCCCUCCAGGCUCAGUGUCUGUCCUCUCCAUGGUAAAUCACAGGUGACAGUCACAUCUGGGGAGAACAGCCCAUGGGAACACAGAGAUUCACACUGAGAGCAGUAAGGGGAGCUUGGGACAGCCUCCAGAGCAGCAGCGGGUGACAGGGCAAGGGACUUGUCCCCUUCAGCACAGAGGGAGCCCAGAAUCACCCUGAAGAGUGGAAAUGGAUGUUUCCCUUUGGGGCCAUGGAGAUUUGGGACAACUUGAAAUAUCAGUGGGAUAUCAAGCUUCAUCUGGCGCCUUGAUAGAUAGUCUUGGGCUUACAUUUUCCUAAAAUGGUGGGGAAAAAAGAAGAGGCAAAAGGAAAGCAAGGAUCUCAUCUUCCAGGACCUCGGUCUACUCACUGGGGAGUCAAGAACUCCACUUCCUCCAGGGUCCGUGUUUUCUCUACCGGCUGUGGCACUCCCUCACGUUUUUUGCCGUUGUUGUUUGUUUUUUUCUUUCUCUUUUUUUUUGUCUUUUGUCUUUUUAGGGCCACACACGUGGCACAUGUAAGUUUCCAGGCUAGGGGUUGAAUCGGAGCUACACCUGCCAGCCUCCACCACAGCCGCAGCCACAGCAACUUGGGAUCUGAGCCACAUCUGUGACCUACACCACAGCUCGCGGCAACACUGGAUCUUUAACCUACUGAGCGAGGCCAGGGAUCGGACCCACGUCCUCAUGGAUACUAGUUGGUUUUGUGAACCGCUGAGCCAUGACGGGAACUCCUCCCUCACCGUUCUAAGGCUGAAAUUCCCUGAUGUGUCUUGAGAGAUGGACACAAGGUUCAAAUAGGGCUGGAUGGAGACCGAGACCUCUGAUAACGGCGCUUCCCUGUAGAUAUGGGGUUAGAGUGUUCAUGGGAUGAAAGAGAGGCAGGGCCAAGUUCACAGCCAAAGGCAAUGCCACCCAGAAGUGUCCCCAAGGAGCCUCCACGUCCAGUUCAAGAUGACCACCUUCAUAGAGGGCUACUGAUGUCCUCAUUUCAACAGCUCUUUCUGCAUCCACCCCAAGAAGAGCUCGCUACUUGGUGAAGGUCCCGUGGAUAACCUUACAAGGUCACUCCAGCUGUCGUUUUUUGUGUAUGUUUGUUUGCUUGUUGUUUUUGUUUUCUUUUUAUGGCUAUACCUGUAGCAUAUGGAAGUUCCCAGGCUAGGGCCAGGAGACAUUCUGUCCAUAUUACAGGUGAUACAAUUGAGGCUGGCUUGUGUCAGUUCCCUGUGUUACCGUAUCCGAUCUUAGCACCUUGAAACUCUUCCAUCACUAAUGAGGAGACACAGAAAGCUUUGAGCAACCUCAGCUUUCCACUGAGCUGCUGAGCCCAUACCGAGGUCGAAGCCUGGAAGUCCACCCACAUCUGCCACUCAUAGGCACAGAUGUUGGAACAGAGUUCAGUCCUGCUCUUUCCCGACCUUAAGAGGCUUAGCGCAUCUCUGAAGCUGGAACAGGAGCUGGGAGGCACAGCUGAUUGGAAACGAGCUCCUCAGAACCACAGCACCCACAGCCGCACUUUGAGUUCUGUACUUCAAAGGGUAGGCUGGGGAGUUCCUGUUGUGGCUCAGUGAUUCAAAUCCAAUUAGUAUCCAUGAGGAUGUGGGUUCGAUCCCUAGCCUCGCUCAGUGGGUUAAGGAUCUGGCGUUGCUGGGGCUGUGGUAUAGGCCAGCAGCUAUAAGCUCCGAUUUGACCCCUAGCCUGGGAACUUCCAUCUGCUGCAGGUGUGGCCCCAGAAAGCAAAAAGAAAAAGGGUAGUUUGGGAGCAGAGCCAUAAGUGGAGCUGGGAGGACUGGCCAGCACAAAGGCCUUUGGGAACACCAGGCUUCUGGGUGACACUGUCACAGACAGAGCAAAGCUGGCUGACGAAUUAGCUCCCACCAGCUAUAAGGCUGGCCCCAGAAAGUCCCUGGUCAAUUUCCUCAGGUUGGUAAAAAGAAUCACAGUUAGGCCUCAAGAGACCUCUUGGCUCUCAAGAUGCUGAGUUUGUUCCGCUCCUUCAGGCCAAGUUCACGUGGGCAAUCAAGUCAUGCAGAUCCUUAAAGGGGAAAAGGCACCUGGUUUGGCAUGCAUCUGGUUCCCCUUGCCUCCGAGUUCUGGCCUUCACAGGAAGGUCUGCCCUCAGGAAUCCCGUCAUUCAAUAAACCAGCAUCGACUGAACAACUACUGUAGCCAUCAACGCAGUUAUGGUCACAGAUGAACGCAAGUAGCAGUUAGUGAACAGGAGGAAGGUCUCUUUCUUGUCAGGAAGGGUCUGUGAGGGUCCCAUCCUCUCUGGGCUCCAAACCUCCCAGGGUGGCUCAGGGACCUAGGCUCCCUUUAACGUGUGGGACCACACGUCAACAUGUGGCUUCCUGGUCACCAAGUUGGGAUCAGAGGGAUUAUGAAGAAUUCACGACAUUUGUCGUUGACCCCCUCUCUUGGUGGUGGUUUUUUUUUGGGGGGGGGGUGCCGCACUAGAGUCAUAUGGAAGUUCCCGGGCUCGGGGUGGAAUCGGAGCUACAGCUGCCGGUCUACACCACAGCCACAGCAACACCAGAUGUGAGUCACAUCUGCGACCUACACCACAGCUCAUGGCAAAUGCUGGAUCCUUAACCCACUGAGCGAGGGUGGGGAUGGAACACACAUGCUCAUGGAUACCAGUCCGGCUCAUUACCUGCUGAGCCACAAUGGGAACUCCUCGACCGCCCCCCUUUGGAGUAACACCAGUCAUUACUUUUCACACUUAUUGCCAGAACUCAUCAUGUGAACUUCCAAGUGAACUGCAAACAGGCUGGGAAAAGUACUGAGCAUGACUGUCUCAGCCCCCACUCCCUCAUGUCCAAAAGCCCACAAGUACUUGGGGGCUCAAGAUAAAGAAGGGAGCCCCCUUCCUUUCCUGGGGAGAUGAAAAAGCCAGGGAAAUAUCUUUGUCAGUAGAUGCUGGACGUACUGAUUUUAUGGAACACAGUUGGCAGGAUUCCAGCUAUAGUGAACCCCUCCACCCAGUGGGGUUGGUCUGGGAAGAAGAGGAAUAUUUAAUUCUAACCAUGCUUCACUCACAGGGGGCUGGACCUUGUGGGUAAGCCAGCCAAGUCUCUAUAGAAAUAGAAGAGAAGAGGUAUUGUCUUCUAUGCCCUCUUGAAGUCAGGAUUUGGUUGCAACUGACUAUUUUUAUCUUCCCUGAGGUGACCAAAUCUGAAGACUUGUCUAUUGGCCCAGGGGAAGAUGCUGGGGUCACAACAAUAUGGUGGUGCAGCUAGAUUAUAUAUAUAGACAUAUAUAUAAUAUAUAUAUGUAUGUAUAAAAUCCUCUGGAAACAAUUAAGUUUAUUUCAUGGUUCCCACUAAGUGGCCAAUUUAAUUUAUUGGACUCUGCCUUCCACUCACGUUGUGUAAGCUAUUCAUUGUCCGUCUGCCUGCCCAUCAAUCCUUCCAAAAAUCUAUUUAUUCUUCCAUCCAUCCAUCCAGUCAUCCAUCCAUCCAUUCAGGCAUUCAUCCAAUCAUCCAUCUAUCCAUCCAUCAUCCAUCCAUCCAAACAUCUAUCCAUUUAAGCACUCAUCAAGUCAUCUAAUCAUCCUCUAUCUGUCCAUCAUCCAUCCGUCCAAACAUAUAUCCAUCCAAACAUCCAUCCAUCCAAGCAUCUAUUCAUCCAUCCAUCCGCUCAUCCAUCCAAAUAUACAUUCAUCUGUUCAAGCACUUAUCCAAGCAUCUAAUCAUCUUCUAUCUAUCCAUCCAUCAUCCAUCCAAACAUCUUAUCAUCCAUCCAUCCAUCCACUCAUCCAUUCAAAUAUACACCCAUCCAUUCAAGCACUCAUUCAAGCAUCAAAUCAUCCUCCAUCCAUCCAUCCAUCCAUCCAUCCAUCCAUCCAUCCAUUUAUCAAAACAAAUACUUGUUGACUGCUGACUCUUGCUGGACAUGGCUCUAGUCAAGGGGUAUAUAGCAGAGGACAACUAAGACUAGAUCCUUACUCUUCUGGGACUUAUAGUCUACUAGACAAUCAACAAGAAAGGAAAUAUUUAGAAAGGACCACACCAGAGUUCUCUAGGAGCUAUGACGACUAUGAGAUGGAAGGAUAAGAGAAGGAGGGACUUGAAUGGGAGGGGUGUGAGGCUACUCUAAGGUGUUCAGAUAGCCUCCCUGAGGAAGGGAGAUAUGAGUUAAGACCUGAGUCAUGAGGGGGAGUCAAACCAGGGACAAUAUGGGAGAAUAGGACUCAAGAAAUGACAGACAAAGAGGGCAAAACUUGGAGGUGGGAAUGGAUUUGUUUUGUUAGAAGAACAAACAGAAGGGAACCAGUGAGGUUGGAGUUAGUGAGCAAGAAGGGCUGCAGCAGGAACUGAGGGUGGAGUACAGGGCAGAUCUGUAUCACACUGGGCCUAUAAGACCAUGGUCCUCAGUUCAGAUUUCACUCUAGGAUUUAUGGGCAUCUACUGGAGGGUUUUAAGUCCAGGAAUGACAUGAUUUGAAUUAUGUUUUUAAAAGGUCGCCC
RNAcentral lists this long non-coding RNA (5796 nucleotides) under Sus scrofa (pig). Its description in RNAcentral is "lncRNA (ENSSSCG00015081171.1)". The record is from RNAcentral. Lineage: Eukaryota; Metazoa; Chordata; Mammalia; Artiodactyla; Suidae.